This 392-nucleotide ribosomal RNA is filed under the name uncultured bacterium. RNAcentral's name for it is "partial 16S ribosomal RNA". It matches the Rfam family "Bacterial small subunit ribosomal RNA", at positions 523 to 918 of the family's 1533-position model. The record is from RNAcentral.
AUACGGAGGAUCCGAGCGUUAUCCGGAUUUAUUGGUUUAAAGGGUGCGCAGGCGGGAGAUUAAGUCGGCGGGUGAAUUUUGCCGGCUUAAUGGAAAAGUGCCCUUGGAAAUGGUUUCCUUUUGUGGGGGUGAAAGAGGGGGGAAUUUUGGUGUGGCGGGGGAAUGCAUAGAUAUCACGAGGAACUCCGAUUGCGCAGGCAGCUUACUAAACUACUACUGACGCUCAGGCACGAAGGCGUGGGGAUCAAACAGGAUUAGAUACCCUGGUAGUCCACGCAGUAAACGAUGAUUACUAGCUGUUUGCGAUACAAUGUAAGCGGCUGAGCGAAAGCGUUAAGUAAUCCACCUGGGGAGUACGUUCGCAAGAAUGAAACUCAAAUGAAUUGACGGGG